ACGGGUGAGUAACGCGUAAGGGACUUACCUGCAGGACCGGGAUAACAGGGGGAAACUCUUGACAAGACCGGAUAAUGUCAUGGAGCUGCAUGGCUUUAUGAUGAAAGGAGACGCCUGUGGAGAGCCUUGCGUCCUAUUAGCUAGUUGGUGAGGUAAGGGCUCACCAAGGCGAAGAUAGGUAGCCGGCCUGAGAGGGUGGACGGCCACAAGGGGACUGAGAUACGGCCCUUACUCCUACGGGAGGCAGCAGUGGGGAAUAUUGGACAAUGGGGGCAACCCUGAUCCAGCAAUUCUGUGUGCACGAAGAAGGUUUUCGGAUUGUAAAGUGCUUUCAGCAGGGAAGAAGUAAGUGACGGUACCUGCAGAAGAAGCGACGGCUAAAUACGUGCCAGCAGCCGCGGUAAUACGUAUGUCGCGAGCGUUAUCCGGAAUUAUUGGGCAUAAAGGGCAUCUAGGCGGCCUGACAAGUCAGGGGUGAAAACCUGCGGCUCAACCGCAGGCCUGCCUUUGAAACUGUGAGGCUGGAGUACCGGAGAGGUGGACGGAACUGCACGAGUAGAGGUGAAAUUCGUAGAUAUGUGCAGGAAUGCCGAUGAUGAAGAUAGUUCACUGGAUGGUAACUGACGCUGAAGUGCGAAAGCCGGGGGAGCGAACAGGAUUAGAUACCCUGGUAGUCCC
Molecule: ribosomal RNA, 678 nt
Filed under: uncultured bacterium
Lineage: Bacteria
Description: bacterial SSU rRNA
Rfam family: Bacterial small subunit ribosomal RNA
Source: RNAcentral